Long non-coding RNA from Mytilus trossulus (common blue mussel), 342 nucleotides. RefSeq lists it as uncharacterized. The record is from RefSeq and is a predicted model, not a curated record. The transcript has 3 exons. NCBI's taxonomy places the organism in Eukaryota, Metazoa, Mollusca, Bivalvia, Mytilida, Mytilidae.
CCCCUUUGAUGGUAUUCCGUAUUGCCUUUUGGGGUCUGAAGUGUGGGACUGUCAUCACGGGCCAGACAGACACGUGAAUGAUAAAAAGAAACUUGUUGCCAAAAAGGAUGAGAUGGAAGAAGAACAUCCAUACACCAAAAAUUCAAAGAAAAGGUUUUUAGUUCAGAGUACCAAGAAGAUGGACUGCAAGUCACAGAUCACUCUUAAAGCUGUUGUUAAGUUUCCUGACUUUAAGGUUGAUGGCCUUGAUAGCACUUACAGGAGAAAAAAAUGUGCAUCCAACCUUAGAGCAGCCAAUUUCAAUCAUGUAAAGAAAGACGUGAAGAUUGUGUUAAUUCUUCC